CUUUACUGUAGCCUGGUAUUGGGUUCGGGCUUUGACUGCGCAGGAUAGGUGGGAGACUGAGAAGUGUGCCUUGUGGGGCACAUAGAGUCAACGGUGAGAUACCACUCUUUCAGAGCUAGAGUUCUAACCUUCACCCGUGAUCCGGGGAAGGGACCGUAUCAGGUGGGCAGUUUGACUGGGGCGGUCGCCUCCUAAAAGGUAACGGAGGCGCGCAAAGGUGUUCUCAGGCUGGUUGGAAAUCAGCCGUAGAGUGUAAAGGCAGAAGAACGCUUGACUGUGAGAGUGACAACUCAAGCAGGGUGGAAACACGGCCUUAGUGAUCCGACGGUAUGCGCGUGGAAGUGCCGUCGCUCAACGGAUAAAAGUUA
This 368-nucleotide ribosomal RNA is filed under the name uncultured organism. RNAcentral's name for it is "bacterial LSU rRNA". It matches the Rfam family "Bacterial large subunit ribosomal RNA", at positions 2099 to 2465 of the family's 2925-position model. The record is from RNAcentral.